RNAcentral lists this ribosomal RNA (586 nucleotides) under uncultured Serratia sp. RNAcentral's name for it is "bacterial SSU rRNA". It matches the Rfam family "Bacterial small subunit ribosomal RNA", at positions 930 to 1516 of the family's 1533-position model. Lineage: Bacteria; Pseudomonadati; Pseudomonadota; Gammaproteobacteria; Enterobacterales; Yersiniaceae. The record is from RNAcentral.
CGGUGGAGCAUGUGGUUUAAUUCGAUGCAACGCGAAGAACCUUACCUACUCUUGACAUCCAGAGAACUUUCCAGAGAUGGAUUGGUGCCUUCGGGAACUCUGAGACAGGUGCUGCAUGGCUGUCGUCAGCUCGUGUUGUGAAAUGUUGGGUUAAGUCCCGCAACGAGCGCAACCCUUAUCCUUUGUUGCCAGCGGUUCGGCCGGGAACUCAAAGGAGACUGCCAGUGAUAAACUGGAGGAAGGUGGGGAUGACGUCAAGUCAUCAUGGCCCUUACGAGUAGGGCUACACACGUGCUACAAUGGCAUAUACAAAGAGAAGCGACCUCGCGAGAGCAAGCGGACCUCAUAAAGUAUGUCGUAGUCCGGAUUGGAGUCUGCAACUCGACUCCAUGAAGUCGGAAUCGCUAGUAAUCGUAGAUCAGAAUGCUACGGUGAAUACGUUCCCGGGCCUUGUACACACCGCCCGUCACACCAUGGGAGUGGGUUGCAAAAGAAGUAGGUAGCUUAACCUUCGGGAGGGCGCUUACCACUUUGUGAUUCAUGACUGGGGUGAAGUCGUAACAAGGUAACCAAGGGCGAAUUCCAG